CCCUUAGAUGUUCUGGGCCGCACGCGUGCUACACUGAGUGGAUCAGCGGGUCAGGUUGCGCGAAAGUGUUUCCUAAUCUUGAAAUCCGCUCGUGAUGGGGAUUGACGGUUGCAAUUUUCCGUCAUGAACGAGGAAUACCUUGUAAGCGCGGGUCAUCAUCCCGCGCUGAAUACGUCCCUGCCCUUUGUACACACCGCCCGCCGCUCCUACCGAUUGAGUGGUCCGGUGAGGCUUUGGGAUCUGAGCGGAAAGAGCGUUUCGCUGUUUCUGCUCGGAAAACUCAGUCGAACCUUAUCAUUUAGAGGAAGGAGAAGUCGUAACA
This 322-nucleotide ribosomal RNA is filed under the name uncultured eukaryote. Its description in RNAcentral is "partial 18S ribosomal RNA". It matches the Rfam family "Eukaryotic small subunit ribosomal RNA", at positions 1470 to 1796 of the family's 1831-position model. The record is from RNAcentral.